RNAcentral lists this ribosomal RNA (1278 nucleotides) under Triticum aestivum (bread wheat). RNAcentral describes it as "partial small subunit ribosomal RNA". The record is from RNAcentral. Lineage: Eukaryota; Viridiplantae; Streptophyta; Magnoliopsida; Poales; Poaceae.
AUGGCGGCGGCGGCGCCGGCGGCGCCCGUGGCGAGUCAAGCACAGGCAGUUCUGCGCGGCCGGCUCUGCGACCCGGCCUUCGUCCACUCCCGUCUCAGAUCCUCGCCCGACACCAACUACAGUAAGCUGAAGUACCUCGUGUCCAGCUCCGUCUCCGAGGCCUGCAACAACUCCGUCCUCCUCCUUGGACCCCGCGGCUGCGGUAAAGGAGCGGUGCUCGACAUGGUUCUGGAGGACCUGAAGGAGGAACAUCCUGAUGCCAUAUCUGUGAUCAGGCUGAAUGGCAUGUUACAUAGUGAUGACAACUGCGCUACAAAGGAAAUUGCCAGGCAGCUGUGUCUGGAGCAUGAGUUGUCAUUUUCCAAAAUGGCUUCUUCAGAUGACAACACUGAAUUCAUGAUUGACAUGUUACGAGAGUGUGGACUAGCUCACAAGACAGUAAUUUUUGUCCUGGAAGAGUUUGAUCUCUUUGCUCAGGGGAAGCAGCGGUUACUCUAUAGCUUACUUGAUGCAAUGCAAUCUCUUACAUCACAAGCUGUUGUCAUUGGUAUGAGUUGCCGAUUGGAUGCAGAUCAAUUGCUAGAAAAAAGAGUUCGAUCUCGCUUCUCUCAUAGGAAGCUUCUUUUUGUUCCUUCUUCAUUGGAUGAUAUACAGAGGUUAAUGGAACAUCUGCUAAUGCUAGACAAAGGCUCGUGCUUACCUACAAACUACGUUACGGAGUACAAUUCAAUGCUUACUAGCAUUUUCAGCAAUAAGAAGUUUAAAGGAAUUCUUGACUCUCUCACGGAUACAGAUGCAACAACCAGCAACAUCCUGAGAUUUCUCUUCAGAGUGGUGUCAUAUAUGGAUAUGGAAUCUGGACUUCUGUCAAUGGAAUGCUUUACGAAUGCGCUUUCCUCCAUGCAGAGGCAACCCAAGAUGGACAGUUUGCAAGAUCUGUCGAUUUUGGAACUGUACAUACUUGUAUGCAUGAACAGACUAGAAGAUAAGGAGCAGAAGUCGUACAACUUCAACACUAUAAUAAAAGAAUACAAAUCCAUACAGGAUGCCUACAAAACUUCUGAUAAGUAUGCAACCACUGUUUGCUUCAGGGCUUUUGAACAUCUUUUGGACCGCGAGUUGAUCACCUUCGCGGACUCAAAAGGGAGAAAUGUGGCACUUGAAUAUCGGCCUGUCAAACUUCUGAUAUCUUCUCGCGAGCUCGCACAGUCGCUCAAGUUAAACACUACCUGCCCCGCUGUGCUGCAAAAGCUGCUUGACCGUGAAAGAUAUAUGUAG